This 510-nucleotide long non-coding RNA is filed under the name Trifolium pratense (red clover). RNAcentral's name for it is "long non-coding RNA (TPRA_LNC011351)". The record is from RNAcentral. Lineage: Eukaryota; Viridiplantae; Streptophyta; Magnoliopsida; Fabales; Fabaceae.
AAACAUUGAAUAUUGCCAAUAAUAAAAAAAACACACAAGUUUCUAUAAGGAUGAUAAUUGAUGAAUAACAAGAAAGUUCUUGAAUUUGCAUGAUUAACAAAAAAAUUAUAUGUCCGAAUGACUCACCAUUAAUUUUGUGAUCAGUAAGGGGAUUAGGAGGACUUUCACAAGCAGCUGUAAUUAGAUCAAAGAAAUUAUGAAUUAUUAAAAAAAACUUAAGUUAGAUAAAAAUAAAAUCUUUAUUUUUAAAGAAUAUUGCUAACUACUGAAUGAAGAAGAGUCAAAUUCAAAUAAAUAUUAUCAUAUGGUUGUAUCACCACUACUUUAUUAUAUCAUGGGAAGUCACGUUAUAACUCUUACCAAUUUUCUGAGCUUUCACAUAUUCUUGGUCCUUUUGGUCAUCCAAUGCCUCUUCUGAAUUGGAAAAAAUAUGUAAAAAAAAGUAAAUAAUUUAUGAAUCUAGCUUUUAUAUGAACAUUUCUGAUAUGUUUAUCUUUUUUUUUUUUUGAU